UCCCUCCUUGCCAGAAGAAGAGGAAACGACGACCGGGUCCUGGGGGACAGCUCCGAGGCCAAGGCCGAGGCCGAGGCUUGCCGGAGCCCAUGAGCCGACGCGGCGGCCGGGCCGGCGGUCGAUGGCGGCGACGGCCCGCUCGAAGAGGCGGCCGAAGCUCCGCUCGGCACAGCUGCUAGAGCCUGCGGCCGAUUCCAUCCGCGGCGGGGCUACACCAUUGGAUUCGAUCCCGGCCCCGAAGCGGAUGUCGCCGGAGGCGUCGGUUGGCGCGGAGACAAAGGCGAGCGCCUCCUCCGUGGUCACCUCCGCGCGCAUCGGCACGGGUAAGUAACCGGGUGGGCGGCGACUUGGGCCUGCGUCCUCGGCAGCGGGCGUCGGCGUGUGCGGGGGCAGCCAGUGCGCCGACGGAGGAGGGGGCG
This 419-nucleotide long non-coding RNA is filed under the name Hordeum vulgare. RNAcentral's name for it is "long non-coding RNA (HVUL_LNC011959)". The record is from RNAcentral. Lineage: Eukaryota; Viridiplantae; Streptophyta; Magnoliopsida; Poales; Poaceae.